Molecule: long non-coding RNA, 804 nt
Organism: Parus major (Great Tit)
Lineage: Eukaryota; Metazoa; Chordata; Aves; Passeriformes; Paridae
Exons: 2
Source: RefSeq, a predicted model, not a curated record
AGCUUCUCCAGGAGCUGAGGAUCUGCCAGGCCCUGAUCCCUCUCAGCUUCUCCAGGAGCCAAGUCCUGAGGAAAAGCUGGAUUUCCUCUGCAGAGCCCCAGAGCUCCUCAAAGUGCCCAAAAGAAAAAUGUCAAGCUCAACAUUUGAAGUCCAGGAUAAGGAGAGGCAGAAAUGUGAAUUAAAGGCACAGCUUGUUUUGUGGGGAGCAUGAGGGGAACCCAAAAAACCAGGGACUGUAAUCAAGCAGAUAUUUGUUUAUUCUCUGAGGGUUUGGGGUUUGUUUUUUUUUACUCGGAGUAAAACCAGCUCUCAGCAGCUUAGAGAAAUUCUCUGUAGAUUGGGACGUGAAGAGUUCCUCUGAUCAAUGAAUUGAUUUGGAGCACAGGAGGAGAGCACAAAAACCUGGUCUUUCUGCAGAUCUGAGUGUCCUUCAGGGCCACCUGUGAGACCCUUCCUGUCCAUUACUUCACACAUUGCCAUCAAAUUUGCUGUGCAGAGCAAACAAAUAAGUUCAAACUCCUGAAGGUUGUGCCAUCCCUUGGUUACCCCUGGGCCUGUCUAUUUUCUGCUCCAGAGGAGAUGACACAGCCCAUAAAUCUCUGCCCUAGUCCCUGCUUUGGUAAAUAAAAUCUGCUCAGAUUUAUGUUUCUUCCUUCCUGAGGAAAAGCAAAGCAGUGAUACAUGUGGCAAAUGGAACAGAAAAUUGCUUUUCACCCAUCAAGUUCCCAAUGUAACCGACUGGAGUUUGGGCUCUCCCACAACAAUCACUGGUCUCAAUAAAAUAAACCAAAUUCUGUGGUGCAA